UACAGAGGUCCCGAGCGUUGUUCGGAUUCAUUGGGCGUAAAGGGUGCGUAGGCGGUCUUCUAAGUUUGAUGUGAAAUCCCGGGGCUCAACCCUGGAAUUGCAUUGAAUACUGGAGGACUAGAGUACUGGAGAGGAAACUGGAAUUUACGGUGUAGCAGUGAAAUGCGUAGAGAUCGUAAGGAAGACCAGUGGCGAAGGCGAGUUUCUGGACAGUAACUGACGCUGAGGCACGAGGGCCAGGGGAGCAAACGGG
Molecule: ribosomal RNA, 253 nt
Filed under: uncultured bacterium
Lineage: Bacteria
Description: partial 16S ribosomal RNA
Rfam family: Bacterial small subunit ribosomal RNA
Source: RNAcentral